RNAcentral lists this transfer RNA (77 nucleotides) under Cellulomonas sp. 73-92. RNAcentral's name for it is "tRNA-Leu". It matches the Rfam family "tRNA". Rfam says of the family: Transfer RNA (tRNA) molecules are approximately 80 nucleotides in length. Their secondary structure includes four short double-helical elements and three loops (D, anti-codon, and T loops). The record is from RNAcentral. Lineage: Bacteria; Bacillati; Actinomycetota; Actinomycetes; Micrococcales; Cellulomonadaceae.
GCCCCCGUAGCCCAACCGGCAGAGGCAGUCGGCUUAAAACCGAUCGAGUGCGGGUUCGAGCCCCGCCGGGGGCACCG